Cyprinus carpio (common carp) is the source of this 491-nucleotide long non-coding RNA. The record is from Ensembl. NCBI's taxonomy places the organism in Eukaryota, Metazoa, Chordata, Actinopteri, Cypriniformes, Cyprinidae.
CUUUCCGAGAUACUAUUUAAGUAAAAUUUACUUAAAAGACUAACAAGGGGAUUACAAUGAUUCUUGACUGUGGCCAUUUUGAAUUUUCAGUUCAACGGGUGACAAGACUGCAUUUUUCUGAACUGCUAUCAACAAAAGGCACUGAAAAGGUGUUUGACAUCAGCAUUGAGCUCAUUUAUGACUCUGGUGUUAUGGAUCAACUGGGGAUUCUGUUAACUUGGGAUGUGCGCGUGCAUGUGAGCUAUUUUACAUCCCGUUCCAACAGAUUCGUCAAAUGCGACUGCAAAGCUGUAAUGAAAAGACGUUGGUACAUUCUUAAUCUUCUUUAUAAAUGUUGAAGCAAUUGUUACGCUGUGUCCUUUCAAUGCAUGCAACACAGUUUAAGUGUCAUUUUAACAUGAUUAAAGUGGUGACAUGGUUCACAAACAACGCCCACGUUAUCUUGGCACAUUCACCUCUAUGGAUAUCACUCAAAUAAACGUAUAUUUCAC